AAGCGCUUGCAAUCAGACUUGCUUUCGGUUGAUCAAUGUUCCUUUUGGUUCAUGCACUCUUCUGUUUGCAGGCCAGCAUCAGUUAAAGCAAUAGGUUAAAGAUUUCAGGAAUGUGGCUCUCUUCGGGGAGUGUUAAGCCUGUUAUGUCAUACUAUUAGCGUUUGACUGAGGUCCGCGGAUUUUUUCCUAGGAUGCUGGCUUAAUGAUUGU
This 210-nucleotide ribosomal RNA is filed under the name Orbiliales sp. RNAcentral describes it as "partial large subunit ribosomal RNA". Lineage: Eukaryota; Fungi; Ascomycota; Orbiliomycetes; Orbiliales. The record is from RNAcentral.